Molecule: ribosomal RNA, 497 nt
Filed under: uncultured bacterium
Lineage: Bacteria
Description: partial 16S ribosomal RNA
Rfam family: Bacterial small subunit ribosomal RNA
Source: RNAcentral
GAUGAACGCUGGCGGCGUGCCUAAUACAUGCAAGUCGAGCGAACAGACGAGGAGCUUGCUCCUCUGACGUUAGCGGCGGACGGGUGAGUAACACGUGGAUAACCUACCUAUAAGACUGGGAUAACUUCGGGAAACCGGAGCUAAUACCGGAUAACAUGUUGAACCGCAUGGUUCAACAGUGAAAGACGGUCUUGCUGUCACUUAUAGAUGGAUCAGCGCCGCAUUAGCUAGUUGGUAAGGUAACGGCUUACCAAGGCAACGAUGCGUAGCCGACCUGAGAGGGUGAUCGGCCACACUGGAACUGAGACACGGUCCAGACUCCUACGGGAGGCAGCAGUAGGGAAUCUUCCGCAAUGGGCGAAAGCCUGACGGAGCAACGCCGCGUGAGUGAAGAAGGUCUUCGGAUCGUAAAACUCUGUUAUUAGGGAAGAACAAAUGUGUAAGUAACUAUGCACGUCUUGACGGUACCUAAUCAGAAAGCCACGGCUAACUACGUG